AUUGAACGCUGGCGGCAUGCCUUACACAUGCAAGUCGAACGGUAACGGGUCCUUCGGGAUGCCGACGAGUGGCGAACGGGUGAGUAAUAUAUCGGAACGUGCCCAGUAGUGGGGGAUAACUGCUCGAAAGAGCAGCUAAUACCGCAUACGACCUGCGGGUGAAAGGGGGGGAUCGCAAGACCUCUCGCUAUUGGAGCAGCCGAUAUCAGAUUAGCUAGUUGGUGGGGUAAAGGCCUACCAAGGCAACGAUCUGUAGUUGGUCUGAGAGGACGACCAGCCACACUGGGACUGAGACACGGCCCAGACUCCUACGGGGGGCAGCAGUGGGGAAUUUUGGACAAUGGGCGCAAGCCUGAUCCAGCAAUGCCGCGUGCAGGAAGAAGGCCUUCGGGUUGUAAACUGCUUUUGUCAGGGAAGAAAUCUUCUGGGCUAAUACCCCGGGAGGAUGACGGUACCUGAAGAAUAAGCACCGGCUAACUACGUG
RNAcentral lists this ribosomal RNA (484 nucleotides) under uncultured bacterium. Its description in RNAcentral is "partial 16S ribosomal RNA". It matches the Rfam family "Bacterial small subunit ribosomal RNA", at positions 30 to 507 of the family's 1533-position model. The record is from RNAcentral.